This is a long non-coding RNA of Alosa sapidissima (American shad), 171 nucleotides long. RefSeq lists it as uncharacterized. The record is from RefSeq and is a predicted model, not a curated record. The transcript is spliced from 3 exons. NCBI's taxonomy places the organism in Eukaryota, Metazoa, Chordata, Actinopteri, Clupeiformes, Clupeidae.
CACAGCCAACGAUGUGUCCAGGACACAGAUGAAGAGGAUGUUAGUAUGCGUUGUCGAGAGGAACUGCCCUACAGUGACUGGCCAUAGUGCAUAGUGGAACUCCACAGGUGUGAGUCUGAUGUAUGCAAGAGAAAGUAUGUUCUAGGCAGUCCUGAGUGAACUGGCUUGUUA